This 1785-nucleotide ribosomal RNA is filed under the name Triticum aestivum (bread wheat). RNAcentral's name for it is "partial small subunit ribosomal RNA". The record is from RNAcentral. Lineage: Eukaryota; Viridiplantae; Streptophyta; Magnoliopsida; Poales; Poaceae.
AUGGCAAGAACUCGCCUCGCAGCGUUUCUUAUCGGCAUGGCGAGCUUCUUCUCCAUCGUUGCCGGCCAACUCCGACCAAUGCCUGCGGGUGGCCUUCCCGGUGAUCUCUUUGCCCUAGGAAUCGCCUCUAAAAUCCGCACCGACUGCAACUCAACGGCGAGCGCGUCGUCAGACUUUGGCCGCAUCAUGGAGGCCGCCCCGGAAGCUGUUCUACACCCUGCCACGCCCGCCGACAUCGCCGCGCUCAUCCGGUUCUCCGCGUCCUCGCCGGUGCCAUUCCCCGUGUCAGCGCGCGGGCAGGGCCACUCCGUCCGCGGGCAGUCUCUCGCUCCGGGUGGUGUUGUCGUCGACAUGUGCAUGCUUGGGCGCGGUCACCACCGCAUCAACGUGUCUGCGGACUACGUCGACGCUGGCGGCGAGCAGCUGUGGGUCGACGUCCUCCGCGCGACGCUGAAGCACGGCCUUGCGCCCCGCUCGUGGACGGACUAUCUGCAACUCACCAUCGGCGGCACGCUCUCCAAUGCUGGCAUCGGCGGGCAAGCAUUCCGGCAUGGCCCGCAAAUCGCCAAUGUGCACGAGCUUGACGUGGUUACCGGGACGGCCGCCAUGUACUAUGAUGAGACAACCGCCCCAUCCGUCGACCAGAAACUAGAGAUGGUGCUAGCUCAGAUGAGCUUUGUGCCCGGGUUCGUGUUCACCAAGGAUGUGACGUACUUCCAGUACCUUGACCGCGUGCGCGUGGAGGAGGCUGUGCUUCGGUCGGCUGGCGUGUGGGAUGUGCCACACCCAUGGCUGAACCUUUUCGUCCCCCGGUCACGCAUUCUCGACUUCAAUGCUGGCGUGCUCAAAGGCAUCCUCGGGGGUGACAACCCAGUCGGGCUCAUCCUCAUGUCCCCUAUGAACACGGCCAAAUGGAACUCCCAGAUGACGGCGGUGACGCCACCCAGGGCCGGGCCCACAGUGGAGGGCAUCGAGUGCAAGCAGUAUCUGCCAUACUACACAUCACAAGAUGGAUGGCAGCGACAUUUUGGGGCCAAGUGGAGCAAUAUCGCUCAGCUCAAGGCCAAAUAUGAUCCCCACGCGAUAAUGUCACGGGGGCAGAGAGUUUUCCCCUUGCCAGACCUAGAUUACGGAGCCCGAUUUCAUGGCCGAAAACUAGGGUUAAUUGCAGCAGAAUUCCGCCCAACUUGCAUCACCUCUGUCCAAUGCAAUUACAAGCCGACCAAGUGGCCCCUUCUUUGGAGCGGCCCCAUCCGUCGAUCAGAAACUAGAGAUGGUGCUAGCUUUGUGCCCGGGUUCGUGUUCACCAAGGAUGUGACCUACUUCCAGUUCCUUGACUGCAUGCGCGUGAAGGAGGUUGCGCUUCGGUCGGUUGGCGUAUGGGAUGUGCCACACCCAUGGAUGAACCUUUUCGUCCCCCGGUCACACAUUCUCGACUUCAGCGCUGGCGUGCUCAAAGGCAUCUUCGGGGCUGACAAACUGGUCGGGCUCAUCCUCAUGUACCCUAUUAACACGGCCAAAUGGAACUCCCGGAUGACAGGGGUGACGCCACCCACCGGCGAGGAUGCAUUCUACACCGUUGGACUUCUCCGAUCGGCUCUAUCCGCUGAUGAACUAGAGCGUCUGCAGAGGGAGAACCAAUCGGUGCUGACAUUUUGCAAUAAGGAGGGCAUCGAGAGCAAGCAGUAUCUGCCACACUACACGUCACAAGAUGGAUGGCAGCGACAUUUGGGGCCAAGUGGAGCAAAAUCUCUCAGCUUAAGACCAAAUAUGAUCCCCACAUGA